AUUAAUUAAAUUAGUAUUUGACUUUUUAAUCCUUAAAGAGAUAAAUUAAUUUACUCUUUAAAAUUUUAUUUCUAAUGGCAUACCUAUGUAAUUACUUACAAAAAUUAAGGUUACAUUUAAAAUGUACUUCCCAAAUAAUAUAGUAGGAUUCAUGUCUUAAAUCAUUAGUAAA
This 172-nucleotide small RNA is filed under the name Arabidopsis thaliana (thale cress). Its description in RNAcentral is "ATSL217500". Lineage: Eukaryota; Viridiplantae; Streptophyta; Magnoliopsida; Brassicales; Brassicaceae. The record is from RNAcentral.